Molecule: ribosomal RNA, 1412 nt
Filed under: Dryadomyces quercus-mongolicae
Lineage: Eukaryota; Fungi; Ascomycota; Sordariomycetes; Ophiostomatales; Ophiostomataceae
Description: Raffaelea quercus-mongolicae partial large subunit ribosomal RNA
Rfam family: Eukaryotic large subunit ribosomal RNA
Source: RNAcentral
ACCCGCUGAACUUAAGCAUAUCAAUAAGCGGAGGAAAAGAAACCAACAGGGAUUGCCUCAGUAACGGCGAGUGAAGCGGCAACAGCUCAGAUUUGGAAUCUGGCCCCCUCGGGGGCCCGAGUUGUAAUCUGGAGAGGAUGCUUCUGGCGCGGCGCCUGGCGAGUUCCCUGGAACGGGACGCCGGAGAGGGUGAGAGCCCCGUACUCCAGGACGCCUAGCCUCUGUGAAGCUCCUUCGACGAGUCGAGUAGUUUGGGAAUGCUGCUCUAAAUGGGAGGUAAAUUUCUUCUAAAGCUAAAUACCGGCCAGAGACCGAUAGCGCACAAGUAGAGUGAUCGAAAGAUGAAAAGCACUUUGAAAAGAGGGUCAAACAGUACGUGAAAUUGUUGAAAGGGAAGCGCCCGUGGCCAGACUUGCGCCCCGCGGCUCACCCGGCGGACUCCGCCGGGGCACGCCGCGGGGUGCAGGCCAGCAUCGGCUCUUCCAGGGGGACAAGGACGGCGGGAACGUGGCUCCUCCGGGAGUGUUAUAGCCCGCCGCGCCAUGCCCCUGGGGGGGCCGAGGACCGCGCUUCGGCAAGGAUGCUGGCGUAAUGGCCACCGGCGACCCGUCUUGAAACACGGACCAAGGAGUCAAGCAUUGGGGCGAGUGUCUGGGUGGCAAACCCGCACGCGAAAUGAAAGUGAACGCAGGUGAGAGCUUCGGCGCACCACCGACCGAUCCUGAUGUCCUCGGAUGGAUUUGAGUAAGAGCCCCACCGCUUGGACCCGAAAGAUGGUGAACUAUGCCUGAAUAGGGUGAAGCCAGAGGAAACUCUGGUGGAGGCUCGCAGCGGUUCUGACGUGCAAAUCGAUCGUCAAAUUUGGGCAUGGGGGCGAAAGACUAAUCGAACCAUCUAGUAGCUGGUUACCGCCGAAGUUUCCCUCAGGAUAGCAGUGUUGUUCUUCAGUUUUAUGAGGUAAAGCGAAUGAUUAGGGACUCGGGGGCGCUCUUUAGCCUUCAUCCAUUCUCAAACUUUAAAUAUGUAAGAAGCCCCUGUUGCUUCGGUGAACGGGGGCCUUCGAAUGCACCAACACUAGUGGGCCAUUUUUGGUAAGCAGAACUGGCGAUGCGGGAUGAACCGAACGCGGGGUUAAGGCGCCGGAGUGGACGCUCAUCAGACACCACAAAAGGCGUUAGUACAUCUUGACAGCAGGACGGUGGCCAUGGAAGUCGGAAUCCGCUAAGGACUGUGUAACAACUCACCUGCCGAAUGUACUAGCCCUGAAAAUGGAUGGCGCUCAAGCGUCCCGCCCAUACCCCGCCCUCAGGGCAGAAGCCAGGCCCUGAGGAGUAGGCGGCCGUAGGGGUCCGUGACGAAGCCCAGGGCGUGAGCCCGGGUCGAACGGCCCCUAGUGCAGAUCUUGGUGGUAG